This 2566-nucleotide long non-coding RNA is filed under the name Jatropha curcas. RNAcentral describes it as "long non-coding RNA (JCUR_LNC001649)". The record is from RNAcentral. Lineage: Eukaryota; Viridiplantae; Streptophyta; Magnoliopsida; Malpighiales; Euphorbiaceae.
UGAACUCUAAAUUAUGAAAGGGAAAAUAAUUAUCUCAUCCACAACAACUUGCGAAAUUAAUCAACUUUUCCUUCUGAAAUCAGAUGUUUUAUUUCCCUUUUUUUAAUAAAUUUGAAAUAUAAGAUACUUUCUUUUCCUUUUUUCUGUACAAGUUUUAAAAUUAAUUACAUUUAUUUUCAAAAAAUUUUGAUUUAAUGAUUCAUCACUUGUUUUUUACUCAAGGGCAUGAAAAAAAUAUCUUUAAUUUUGCUUGUCAGUUAUGGCAUGUCCUAAGCACAAACAGGAGAAAGAAGCACAAACACAUUAUGCAAAUCCAACCACCGGUUAAAAACAAAAACCACGUAAACAGGAGCAUUAUCUCAAACAUGCAAGGAUAAAGCUGCUGCACAAGCUCUUCAACUAGCCAUUGGAAAUACAAAUUCACAUUGGUAAUUAUGUAUUUCUAAAGAGUUCAUAUAGUAGUACAAGAAAACCAAAAACCACAAAUUCACGUUUAUAAAUUUAGAACUAGAGAAAUAUUCAUACACAAGGAUUACAAGUAAAAAACAAAAAUUUGAAUUUGUACCAUUCACAUAUACAAUACAUUUCUAUUUGCCUAAAAAACCUCAAUCUAAACUCUCGUACUAGAGAAUGUUCAGAAUGUGAAUAAAAAAAUUGUUUCUCGAAAGUGCCUCAAAAAGGCUAAAUCCUAUGCCGUUUUCCCCCUUAACAAUAAUAAUAAUAAUAAUAAUAAUAAUAAUAAUAAUGAUGAUGAUGUGAGAAGCUCGGUAAGCAGAUGUGUCAACAGAGAUAUCAUAGAGAUCUCAUACAACAACCGGCCAGAAAACAUCUCAUUGGUAAUUGAUAUAGCUACAGCCGCUUUGGCAAGUCAAGGUCAAGGCCACCCAUUGCUAUGCUAUGCCUUCCCUUGGUACAUAUAGCUUUCAGAUCAAUACAAAAUCACAAAACUGUAAGCACGAAACAGAAAAUGGAAAAAAUUUAGACUGAACUCCACUACUGUGACUUUAAAAUUAAUUUUAUUAACCUCAAAUGAACACCAUUAGUUAUUAACUGAGAAAGGUUUCAUACAGCAAAAAUACCCUGCUCAUAAUAAACAGACACAUGCAAAUCAUACUUACACCCCAAAUUAAAAUUGAAAAAUCAAUCCCUAACCAAUGUCUCAGACAUCCAAGGAAGGAUAAAGCAGCACAAGCUCUCAAGCCUGGCGAAGGCGAAAGCUCUUAGGCGGCCACUGCGAAUGUUCUUGAGAAACAAGCCUUUGGAUUUGUCAUCAUCAACACAUCGGCAUUAUAAAUUUCAAUGAAGGGCGUAUACUAGUAAAACAAACUGAUCAUGAGAAAAACCAAAUGUUUAAAUUUAUAAGAACAAACAAAUAUUUAAAUUUGAAUCAUUCACAUUGUAUGAUUAUUAUACAUUUCAUCAAGGUUGAUAAAAACAAAUCUUAUUUAAUAUUUCUGAUAAAAAGAAUGUAGAAGUUUCAGACAUCCAAGGAAGGAUUAAAGCAGCAUAAGCUCUCAAGCCUGGCGAAGGCGAAAGCUCUUAGGCGUCCACUGCGAAUGUUUUCUGAGAAACAAGUCUAUGGAUCUAUCAUCAUCAACAACGAUACAAGCUUACAAUAUUAAACCAAAACUGAAAUCAGAAACUAAAUUAAGCUCAGCUUUUCUACUAUCAAUGAUCAAACAAACAAGAUUCAUCAUGUAAAAUGACCAACCAGGAGAAAUGAAACAAGAUAUCUUCCAAACAAUUUGAUGAUUGAAAGAGCAUUUAUUCCACUCUUUAAUGAUCAGCAAGAUACAAAACAAAAAUGCUGACAAAGUGAUAAGGUGGAUUAGAGUUAAAUUUUAGGGACUCGUUCAUCCCUAAAGCACUCAAAAUGCUGCUAAAGGGGCAGACGUGUCAUCCCCAUAUAUGUACAAAUUGCUAAUAAUUCUGAAAACAUCUAGCAAUUAGCUAAACUCAAAACAAAUACGAACCACCGCCAAAAAUUUUUCAGCAACCAGAUAAAACUACAAUAAACCGUAACCCCAAAAUUGCCAGUAAUCAGCAGAUAUCAGAGAAAUGCAAACCAUGAAAGGGGCGCAAAUUUCUGCAUUUUCACUUUCAAUUACUCAAGAACCUAAAAUAACCAAAAGCGGAAAAAAGAAACACAACGGUUAAAAUAAAAUGGUUUCUACCUAAUCAAACGUAUAAAAAUGGGAAACAGUAUACUUUUAGGAGUGAUUGGCUCAGACAUCCAAGGAAGGAUAAAAGCAGCACAAGCUCUCAAGCCCGGCGAAAGGCGAAAGCUCUUAGGCGGCCACUGCGAAUGUUCUUGAGAAACAAGCCUUUGGAUCUAUCAUCAUUGCCCUUUGUAACUCCAAUUGGUUUUAAUUAUAACUAACCAUUAAAAGGAACAAAACCUAAUCAAUCGAUCAUCAAACAAAGCCGUUGAUAUACCCUAAAAGAAUAUCGAUCGCUGUGACCAGCGCCACACCAGAAACGGAGACCGAGAGAAAGACACAGCCGAAUGAGAAAACUGACAAAGAGGAGCUUUUUAUAUAGAAGAGUAACGGAAUUUAGGGCUUUG